This 66-nucleotide transfer RNA is filed under the name Leptomithrax sp. QNL-2021. RNAcentral's name for it is "tRNA-Ser". Lineage: Eukaryota; Metazoa; Arthropoda; Malacostraca; Decapoda; Majidae. The record is from RNAcentral.
AGUUAUUUAGUUUAAAAAAAACAAGUGUGUUGAAAACACUAGAUAAAAAGAACUUUUUAAUAACUG